UACGUAGGGUGCGAGCGUUAAUCGGAAUUACUGGGCGUAAAGUGUGCGCAGGCGGCCAUGCAGGUCGAGUGUGAAAGCCCCGGGCUUAACUUGGGAAUUGCGCUCGAAACUACGUGGCUGGAGUGUGGCAGAGGAAGGUGGAAUUCCACGUGUAGCGGUGAAAUGCGUAGAGAUGUGGAGGAACACCAAUGGCGAAGGCAGCCUUCUGGGCCAACACUGACGCUCAUGCACGAAAGCGUGGGGAGCAAACAGG
RNAcentral lists this ribosomal RNA (253 nucleotides) under uncultured bacterium. RNAcentral's name for it is "partial 16S ribosomal RNA". It matches the Rfam family "Bacterial small subunit ribosomal RNA", at positions 524 to 776 of the family's 1533-position model. The record is from RNAcentral.